UACGUAGGGGGCUAGCGUUAUCCGGAAUUACUGGGCGUAAAGGGUGCGUAGGUGGUUUCUUAAGUCAGAGGUGAAAGGCUACGGCUCAACCGUAGUAAGCCUUUGAAACUGAGCAACUUGAGUGCAGGAGAGGUUAUCGGAAUUCCCGGUGUAGCGGUGAAAUGCGUAGAGAUCGGGAGGAACACCAGUGGCGAAGGCGGCCAACUGGGCUUUUACUGACGCUGAGGCUCGAAAGCGUGGGGAGCAAACAGGAUUAGAUACCCCUGUAGUCCCUGAGCGGGCU
RNAcentral lists this ribosomal RNA (283 nucleotides) under uncultured prokaryote. Its description in RNAcentral is "partial 16S ribosomal RNA". It matches the Rfam family "Bacterial small subunit ribosomal RNA", at positions 524 to 817 of the family's 1533-position model. The record is from RNAcentral.